CACAAAGUCACAUCCUUAGUGUCUUCAUAUAUGUACUUAGGGUAAUGAUGACCAUCGCAUCCACCGUCUUUCAUACCCCUGUGCCCCCUUCCUUCCCCUCCCACCCCUUUUCCCCUUUUCCCUAUCUAGAGUUUAUUUAAUCCUCCCAUCCCCUCCCCUCAGCAUAUUAUAAAUCAGCAUCCUUAAAUCAGAGAAAUAAUUCAAUGUUUGUUUUUUGGGGAUUGGUUAAUUUCACUUAGCAUUAUAUUCUCCAGCUCCAUCCAUUUACCUACAAAUGCCAUGAUUUUAUUCUCUUUUAUUGCUGAGUGGUAUUCCAUUGUGCAUAUAUGCCACAUUUUCAUUAUCCAUUUAUCUACUGAAGGGCAUCUAGGUUGGUUCCACAGUUUAGCUAUUAUGAAUUGUGCUGCUAUAAACAUUGAUGUGGCUGUGACCCUAUAGUGUGCUGUUUUUAAGUCCUUUGGGUAUAGACUGAGAAGUGGGAUAGCUGGGUCAAAUAGAGGUUCCAUUCCCAGUUUUCCAAGGAUUCUCCAUACUGCUUUCUAUAUUGGCUACACCAAUUUAUAGUCCCACCAGCAAUACAAAAGACAACUCUAGAUUACCCCUAAGUCAGAAUUUUCUUACAGGUAAACUGGUUAAUCUCCUUUUCAAAUGAUAUGUCCUGAUAAACAGCAAAAUAAAAAACAUUAAAAUCAUUGUAAGACACUUAUUAAAAAAUAAUACUGUUAAUGACUUUGUAGGAAACUUCCGUGUUCUAAUACAUAAUAUCAUGAAAUGAGAGUGUUAGGGAUAAUGUUUCCUUUCUAUACUUUUUAGUAUUUUUAAAAUAUUUCCCCCCAAAAAAACAUUAUUUUUGAAA
RNAcentral lists this long non-coding RNA (856 nucleotides) under Marmota monax (woodchuck). Lineage: Eukaryota; Metazoa; Chordata; Mammalia; Rodentia; Sciuridae. The record is from RNAcentral.